ACUCAAAGGAAUUGACGGGGGCCCGCACAAGCAGCGGAGCGUGUGGUUUAAUUCGACGCAACGCGAAGAACCUUACCGGGGCUUGACAUCCACGGGAAGCGUCCAGCGAUGGGCGCGCCCUUCGGGGCCGGUGGACAGGUGUUGCAUGGCUGUCGUCAGCUCGUGCCGUGAGGUGUUGGGUUAAGUCCCGCAACGAGCGCAACCCUCAUCGCCAGUUAGGCUGUCUGGCGAGACUGCCGGUAGCAAACCGGAGGAAGGCGAGGAUGACGUCAAGUCAGCAUGGCCCUUACGUCCCGGGCUACACACACGCUACAAUGGCCGGUACAACGGGAAGCAAGGCCGCGAGGCGGAGCUAAUCCACUAAAGCCGGUCUCAGUUCAGAUUGCAGGCUGCAACUCGCCUGCAUGAAGGAGGAGUUGCUAGUAACCGUGGGUCAGCACACCGCGGUGAAUAUGUUCCCGGGCCUUGCACACACCGCCCGU
RNAcentral lists this ribosomal RNA (482 nucleotides) under uncultured bacterium. Its description in RNAcentral is "partial 16S ribosomal RNA". It matches the Rfam family "Bacterial small subunit ribosomal RNA", at positions 899 to 1397 of the family's 1533-position model. The record is from RNAcentral.